GGGCCUGUAGCUCAGUGGUUAGAGCGGCCGGCUCAUAACCGGUUGGUCGCAGGUUCAAGUCCUGCCGGGCCCA
RNAcentral lists this transfer RNA (73 nucleotides) under Binatus sp. (SeqCode). Its description in RNAcentral is "tRNA-Ile". It matches the Rfam family "tRNA". From Rfam's summary of the family: Transfer RNA (tRNA) molecules are approximately 80 nucleotides in length. Their secondary structure includes four short double-helical elements and three loops (D, anti-codon, and T loops). The record is from RNAcentral. RNAcentral also lists the same sequence under 2 other names. Lineage: Bacteria; Candidatus Binatota; Binatia (SeqCode); Binatales (SeqCode); Binataceae (SeqCode).